UACAGAGGGUGCGAGCGUUGUCCGGAAUCACUGGGCGUAAAGGGCGCGUAGGUGGCUGGGUAAGCGUGUGGUGAAAGUCCGGGGCUCAACCCCGGAUCUGCCGUGCGAACUGCCUAGCUCGAGCAAUGUAGAGGCAGGUGGAAUUUCGGGUGUAGCGGUGGAAUGCGUAGAUAUCCGAAAGAACACCAGUGGCGAAGGCGGCCUGCUGGGCAUUAGCUGACACUGAGGCGCGACAGCGUGGGGAGCAAACAGG
RNAcentral lists this ribosomal RNA (253 nucleotides) under uncultured bacterium. RNAcentral describes it as "partial 16S ribosomal RNA". It matches the Rfam family "Bacterial small subunit ribosomal RNA", at positions 524 to 776 of the family's 1533-position model. The record is from RNAcentral.